Myotis brandtii (Brandt's bat) is the source of this 698-nucleotide long non-coding RNA. RefSeq lists it as uncharacterized. NCBI's taxonomy places the organism in Eukaryota, Metazoa, Chordata, Mammalia, Chiroptera, Vespertilionidae. The transcript has 3 exons. The record is from RefSeq and is a predicted model, not a curated record.
GCGGGUCUAGUUUCCAUUUCCCGGACAGCUCCGCGCCCCUCCGCAGGAGGCCAUUUCUUCCUUCCUUCAUUCUCAGGACAUUUCUUCAACAUCUUCAAUCUCAUUUAAUCCUUGCCUUAGCCUCAGAGGAGGAAAUGAUUCUCUACUCACACAGCGGUUUCUGGCCAGUGAGGUAUCGUAGUUCAGUGGUUAAGAGGCUUUGGGCUCAGAUAGGUGUGGGCUGGAAUUCUGUCUUUGCUGCUUCCUGGGCAAGUUAUUCAACUUAUGAAAACUUCAAAUUUCCUCAUUCAUUAAAUGGAGAUACUACUUACUUCAUAGAAUUCUUGUGAAGCACACUGUGAGUGCUGAAUAGAUGGUAGGAAAAGCUACUGAAGGCAAAUAUUGGGCGAAGAUCCAGGCAUGGGAUUUGGCUACUGUCCAAAAUAAGAUGUGGGUAAUGACAACCAUAACUGUUUAAAGGUGAGAAAUACUGAUGUGCCAAGUUACCUUUUGAUUUCCUGUUCCGUCCUGGCUUAAUAGUACAGUAGCUUGUGCUCAGAUUUUGGGCUUGAGGACAGGGCUGCAAGAGACAUGUAAUCCACGUGGUACUCAACUGUGUAUGAAACAGAGCUCAACAUGAGAGCUUAAUACUAGCUUGGAUGAAGGAGAGCUUGAGUGAGGGAGGGAGGGAAUAUUAUGGGCGGCGGGAUGCAGGGAGA